Molecule: ribosomal RNA, 448 nt
Filed under: uncultured bacterium
Lineage: Bacteria
Description: bacterial SSU rRNA
Rfam family: Bacterial small subunit ribosomal RNA
Source: RNAcentral
ACGAACGCUGGCGGCAUGCCUAACACAUGCAAGUCGAGGGGCUCUUCGGAGUCACUGGCGCACGGGUGAGUAACACGUAGGUCAUCUACCCCUAUCACAGACAUAACCCCGGGAAACCGGGGCUAAUAUCUGAUGAGGUCGCGAGAUCAAAGCUUCGGCGGAUAGGGAUGAGCCUGCGGCUGAUUAGCUAGUUGGUGAGGUAAUGGCUCACCAAGGCGACGAUCAGUAGCUGGUCUGAGAGGACGAACAGCCACACUGGAACUGAGACACGGUCCAGACUCCUACGGGAGGCAGCAGUGAGGAAUAUUGGUCAAUGGGAGCAAUCCUGAACCAGCAAUGCCGCGUGUGGGAUGAAGGCGCUUCGCGUCGUAAACCACUGUCGGACGGGACGAAAAGAGCUAUAAAGCUCCGAGACGGUACCGUCAAAGGAAGGAUCGGCUAACUACGU